Molecule: ribosomal RNA, 253 nt
Filed under: uncultured bacterium
Lineage: Bacteria
Description: partial 16S ribosomal RNA
Rfam family: Bacterial small subunit ribosomal RNA
Source: RNAcentral
UACAGAGGUCCCAAGCGUUGUUCGGAUUUACUGGGCGUAAAGGGUGCGUAGGUGGUGAGGUAAGUCUGAUGUGAAAUCUCCGAGCUUAACUCGGAAAUGGCAUUGGAAACUACCUUGCUAGAGGGUUGGAGGGGGGACUGGAAUACUUGGUGUAGCAGUGAAAUGCGUAGAUAUCAAGUGGAACACCAGUGGCGAAGGCGAGUCCCUGGACAGUUCCUGACGCUGAGGCACGAAGGCCAGGGGAGCAAACGGG